AUGUCGAGUUGCCCCUUGGUUUUCGCCUCCCAAGACCUAGAGCCGAAAGUGUAGCUCUAAAGACCUAACUAGAAUAUUUGAACUAUGGAAAAACUUGUGUUUCUUGGGUCUUCUCUCUUCCCCAAAGCCUCCUUAUAUAGUGGUUGGGAAGAGUGUACAAAGACUGAAAAGCCCAUGAAAAUCCCAAGUAUAUUCUAAUAUGAAUGUCUCUUGAUUUUCAUCUAAUUAUCACAUAGAUAAUUAGGAGGUUAAUAUCCUCAUGUGGGUGGAAUAUCCUUUGAUAUUUAUUUAUCCCAUAAGAUAAAUCCUACAUCUCCCACUCACCCACAUAGGGUGUGGCAUAGUCUCAAUCACACACUUAGUUCACAUCCAUUAUAGUCUAUCUCCUCAUAUAGGAAAUGGGACGUGCGACCUCUCGAGAAAAAACGUACAUAACCAGAAGCACUGCCAUUUAGCUAUCACUAAAUUAACAAUAGUGCAUCACUCGGAAGUUCAUCGCUUUAUGUCCCAGACUGUUCGUCACACACUAGACAUGACAUUAUUUAUCCCUCGUUAUGAAAAUAAAAAACAAUGUCAUGUCUAACAAGUAUCAUGUAUCCAUGUCUUAUGUUUGAUAACAAAUAUCAAAGGACGCCGUGCAACUAAUGAAUCAUAUGACAUGGUGUUUUCUUCAAACUGUCUUCCUUAAGCUCUCAUGUUAUUCUAAUUUGAUUUAACUGCUUACCUAGACACGCCUCUUGGGAUAGUAGCUAACUUGACCAUCUUAGAUAAACAUGCUAAAGUAGCGAUCAUUAAACCUCAUCUUUCUAACAUGGACUUUAUUUCAAAUGGCAUAAGGGUGGAAUCGUAUAGAUUCCUUAUGGUUCACAUAGUGAUUGAAGUAGAGAUAAAUUCAUCUCUCCCACUAUCAGUCGGUUAUAGCACAUAUAAUAUGAUUUGUAUACUAUGGUGUAUCCUCAUGUCAAUGAAUGUGUCACAUGUCCAUUGGACGUACACCAUAUGGAUCUUAGUCUAGUCACUACACAAGUGCCAAACUUGAGCCUAGUUGCCUUUUUGGCGCCCACCUAGAUACUCAUAUCUGGCUUUACAAGUUUCAGCAUGAAACAAAUCUCAUGUUUGACUUCUGUUAAGUCUUAUCUUAAACAUUUAUAAGGCGACGUUUACCUUGUGCAUAUUGGUACGUUCAACAUACACAUGUCUGGUCUCGCAGUACAAUGUGUUGAGGACAUAAAUGUCUCAUCCUACUCGCUAUCUCAGUGCUAGGGCGAAUCAUUCGUGUGAAAAACUGAUUCUAGCUUGGUGACACUCGUAAAGAUGUGUAAACAAUCAUUUCAAAAAUAAAUAUGAAAUGAAAAACUUCAAUUCCUUUUUAUUCAAUAAUAAUGUCAAAUACAAAGAAAAACACAUCAAGCCCUACAUAAACCCAUAUUCUUUACAUGAGUAAAAAACAAGCUUCUAAUUAUGGGUUUAGUCAUGGGAUCAGCGAGCAUAUUGCUCGUCGAGAUAUUUUUCAACACUACUUCACCCUUGGUAACCUUGUUCCUCAAGAAAUGAUAUCAUGUAUCUAUGUGCUUAGAUUUUCCAUGAUAUUUAGGAUCUUUAGUGUAUAUUAAGGCCGAAGUACUAUCAUAGUAGACAAGUACAGCUUCUUGAGCAUAAGCUGUAACUCCCAUCUAUCGUAGAAAUCUCCAAAGCCAAACAGCUUCUUGAACAGCUGAUCCAAGGGCAACAUAUUCUGACUCCAUUGUGAAAAGAGCAAUACGAGUUUGCUUUUUGCUACACCAAGAAACAAUUCCAUCUUCAAGGACGAAAGCAUAACCUGAGGUGGACUUGCGUUCAUCUUUAUCGCUUGCCCAGUCUGCAUCACAAUAACUUCUCAACUUUAAAUCCCCUCCUUGGUAAAAUAGAGCUGAAUCUUUUGUUCCUUGCAUGUAUCUCAUAAUCCUCUUGACGGCUUGCUAGUGAGCUUGUCCAGGAUUACUUUGAUAGCAGCUUACCAUACCCACGGCAUGGCAAAUGUCCAAACGCGUGCAAAGCAUCACAUACAUUAUACUUCCUACUGCAGAGCCAUAAAGGACGUUUUCCAUUUGUUCUUUCUCUUUCUUAGUCUUUGGACAUUGUUCUAAGGACAAUAUUGCACCUCUUUCCAUAUGAGUGUCUAUGGGUUUGGAGUUCUCCAUCUUAAAUCGUUCAAGUACCUUCUUAAUGUAAGUCUAUUGAGAUAAACUUAUCUCUCGUGAUUUUAACUCCAAGCACAUAAUGUGCUUCACCUAUAUAUGUCAUCUCAAAAUGGGAUGACAACCAUGCUUUCGUGGUUUCUAUGGAGGUUUUGUCAUUUCCCGCUAUUAGGAUGUCUUCAACAUACAAAGAAAGUAUGAGAAUACUUUUCCCAAAUUUCUUAAGAUGCACAUAGUGGUCUUCUUCAAUCAUCUCAAAACCAAAUGAAGUGAUUGAAUUAUGGAAUCUAAUGUUCCACUAUCUAGAUGCUUGCUUGAGGCCAUAUAUGGAAUGUUUUAGGCGGCAAACUUUGCACUCUUGUCCCUUGGCCUCGAAGCCUAAAGGUUGAUCCAUGUAUAUCUCCUCGUCUAGUUCUCCAUUGAGAAAUGUUGUCUUAACAUCCAUUGGGUAAAAUUCCAAAACUAGUUAAGCAACAAUAGCUAAAAUAAUGCAAAUAGAGGCAAACCUCACCACAGGGGAGAAUGUCUAUUCAUAGUCUACACCCAAUUGCUGAGUGUAUCCUUUCACCAUAAGGUGUGCCUUAUAUUUGUUAAUUGAACCAUUCACCUUGUGUUUGAUUUUUAAAACCCACUUGUUUCCAAUUGUUUUACUCCCAGGUGGAAGGUCAACUAACUCCCGAACAGUAUUUUUGUCCAUGGAGCUCAUCUCUUCCUCCAUUGUAGUUAUCCAUUUUUCUUUGGCCGUUGAAGACAACGUUUCUUUGUAAGAAGAAGGUUCGUCUUCCUCUGAAUGUAUGCAAAUGUAAGCCUCCUCAUCAACCUCAAAAUGACGUUUGAGAAUGUGGCCUCUCUUACUUCUUCGAACUGUGUGACCUUGAAUUUCAGAGGGUACGCUCCCUUCAUUGGGCGUAUUCUCUUGAGUGUUUAUGGAUACAUUACUCCCACUAGGUUAUGUACUCCUACUCGGAUCAAGUCUUCCUACAUCAUAUUCAGUGACCAUCGGAUUGGAAUUUAAUUCCCCUCAUUCACUUGAAGAUGUUACGAGUUCUUCAUCUUUCUCCAACUCAUGGAGAUAAAGGUUUUUGACAAUAUUGCCAAGUUUUGGGAAGUCAUUCUCUAUGAAUUCCACACAUCACAUGAAUCAAUCUUGGUUCUCCCUUCAUCUGGAUGUUCACCAUACAUCACAUAACCUUUCGAGUUUUCACAAUAUCUUAUAAAGAUAUGUUUAUUUUCUCUAGGACCCAACUUUCCAAACUUAUGUGAUUGAUUAUGAACAAAUCCAGCACAACCCCAAGGAUGCAAAUUACCCAGAUUGGGUUUUACAUCAUUCCAAAGUUCGUAUGGGGUUGACUGAACCAUCUUUGAAGGCACACAAUUAAGUAUAUACGUCGCACUCAAUAAUGCAUCACCCUAGAAAGAUAUGGGGAGAUUUGCAUGCGCCAUCAUAGACCUGAACGUGUCUAAUAAAGUUUUGUUUCUCCUUUCAGCAACAUCAUUUUGUUGUGGCAUGUGAGGAACAUAAAGUUGUCUGCAUAUCCCCUUACUUUCACAAAAAACCUUGAAUUGGUCAGAUAAAUACUCGCGUCCACGAUCAAUGCGAAAAGGUUUUACAGUCUUCCUUUUUUUAUUCUCAACCUCAGCUAUGAAGCAUUUCAAACAAUCUAAAUUUUCAUAGCGAUGAGCGAUCAAGUACACAUAACCAUAUCACGUGUAAUCGUCAAUCAAAGUCAGAAAAUAAAAGGCACCAUGACAGGCCUUCACACUCAUUGGUCCACAAAUGUCAGAGUGGAUUAACUCUAACAGAUGAGUAGCUCGAACAGCCUUUCCAAAAGGCUUUGUAACUACUUUGCCAACUAAACAAGGCUCACAUACAGGUAGAUUAACAUUAGUGAGUGACCCCAACAGGUCUUCUCUAACUAACCUUGUCAUUCUAUCUUUCCCUAUAUGCCCUAGUCUAGCAUGCCAUGUUUCAGAAUUAACAUGUUUAAUAACAGUUACUAAAAAAGUAGAAGAACAAGAAUCAAUCAAAUCCAAGCAAACAAAAGCGUUCUUUAUUGAACCCAUAUCCAAUUUCAACUUAAUCCAAAUAGAUCACAAGUCUAGACGGGCUUAAGUAAAAACAAUAUCCUUCAUAUAAUAGUGCAGUAACUGAAAGUCUAGACACCUAAUGCUUAGUUGAAGUCGAUACAAACCAACUCUCAAAGCUUAUGCAUGACUUCCUUCACCCACGUACACUGAGUGUGAAUUUGCUGGAAAGCAUUGAUAAUUUUCAAACCACAUUUUAUCUCGCGUCACAUGCUUGGUUACGCCUGUGUCUAACAUGUAUAUGCGAAUAUACACAAACAAUGACAAAUUUAGGGUUACGUAUUACCUUUCUAUUCGGCUCAGUGCAAUUAACUAUAAAAUGUCCUUUCUUUUUAUAGUUAAAGCACGUUGACUUGGAUUCACCUUUCUUGCCAUGUUUACCUCUCUGGGCCUUGAUCUUAUUAGAAUUAGGAGCAAGCUUUGCAUCCUUUUUCUCAGACUUGGUCUUACCCUUUCCUUUGAACUGGUUACCCUUUUUGAACCCACCUUGAGUCAAAAGGACAAUACUCUGGGUCGCCACUCAACGCUCACCUUCCAGUUCAACAUGACGCGAGAUGUCAUGAAAGUUCUUAAUCUGAUCAUUGUGUAUCAUGAUCUGUUUAAGGGCAUCCCACGAGUAUGGGAAGGACCUAAUCAUAGCUUGGACUUGCUGUUCAUCGGUGAGGAUACUCCCAGCAACUUUAAAAUCUCGUAUCAUGUUGGACAUUUUCCUAAGAUGUUCAAAUACAGAGUGCUUAUGAUCCAUCCUGUAAACCUCAAACUUCAACACUAGACUUCUCAGCCUAGUAGUUGAGGUUCCACCAUAAGAAAAUUUUAGUUGGUCCCACAUCUCCUUGGCUAUCGAGUACCAUUCAUACCCAUCAAUAAGAUCAUCAUGCAUGCUGCUUAACAUAGUAAAUCGCACUUCGAUCUUUCUUGAACCAAGAUUCAUAAGACCUUACUCUAGCCGUAUAUUGAGCCGCAGUGGUUCCAUCUCUCUCAAGAUCAGGCUCAUCCACCGAAGCCUCCAAGGGCUCCAAGAGCUCUUGUUCAUUGAGAAGAUGUUGGAUCUUCCUAUGCUAAAUAUCAUAGUUGGUUCCAACCAGCUUUUCUCCUUUGGUUAAAUAGGCAAUAACAUUUUUGGCAGCCAUUUCUUUCUACAAAGGUGAAAUAAUUUUGAGAUUAUUAAUUACACAUCUUACAUUUAUUUAUUUCAAAAACUCAUUAGAAAAUAUUUCACUUUUUCUCCUAGGUUGAAAUUGAAAAAUCCCCUAAGUCGUUCGUAAUUACCAUUCAAUUCUAAGAGUCAAGAUCAUAUUUUUGAAUUAUUUUCGAAAUAAAUCUAAUUUAAACAUUAUUAUGUUUUAAGCUUGUCCAUUUUUCAUGCAACAUCCAAUUGAGUGCACAACGAUUAGGGUUUUUAGACAAUGGGCUCGACAUGUGGGCCUCCGUAAGUGCGGCUAGGCUAAAUCUGGGAGGGGUGGCAGUGCGAAGCUUUUAAAAUGGGAUUUUACCUUAAAGAUAUUUCCUAGACACCACAUCAAAUAAGAGGUGACCAUUAGUGAACCCCAGUCUAAUUUCAUUAUUUUUUAUUAAUUAGGUAAUCUUUUUUAAAUAUUCUCCUAAAGAAUAUUCCUUUCUAAUUUAAAAUGCUCAAUCAACAUGAGCAAAUUUGAUCGAUAUUAUCUCUUUUCGAUUUUCCUAAAAUCUUGGCAUGUGUUGGAUAUUUUUUAAAGGUUAAUUAAGAACGUUUCCUUAAUUUUAGUAAAUUAAAAACAUCUCUAAUACCAGACCUAAAUUUACACUUACGUAGGUUAGUGAACCACAAUGAUUCACUCGCCAGCCGUGUCCCAAAAACACAGCCCAUGCGCCACCCAAAGCGGCAAUGCAAAAUUAAAUUUUUUUUAAAUAACUAAUUUAAUAUUGCGCGAACCCACUCACCGUGGGUGGCGCGUGACACACAUGUGCCGCCUUCUGGCGGUCCGAUGCCGUUCUUUACACCUCCGUUGGAUUGAACUCCCUGAGAUGAAUCCAACGGUGUAGCUAACAUCUACAAAAGCCUAGCGAUGUACUCGUACUUGCUUAGGCCGAGAGUGGAAGAGAUGAACCACUGUUCAUCAUCUUCUUCCAAAAAAUCUGGAAUUUCCAGAUUUUUCACUCUCAUGAGGCCUAUUUACAGAGGCCAUAACUUAGUGAUUAUGCAUCCAUUUUAUGCGUAUUUUUUGUCGUUAGAAAGAUCAAAUUACCAUCUACAAUUAAAUCUUCUUUGGAGAAAUUGAAAAACAACUCUAACCUCAUGAAAAAAGGAUCGCAAAAACCUUGAAAAAAUUUGUUUUUCAUGCUAUUACGAAACUAGGGUUUUAAUUAUCUCUCUAACCACUUGGUUUUUCUUUACCAAAUUUUAAACAUAGUCUCAUAUGAAUGUAAAAAACAUAACCCAAGUGUUAAAAUCCAGAAAAAAUAAGCAUGGCAAAAACGAAAAUUUUAAAGACAAGCAUUCAUGACAUAUUCAUAUAUAUCUCAUGCUUUCAAGGCUUUCAUACAUGGCAUAUUCAUAUAUAUAUCUCAUGCUUUCAUGCGAGGAGUGUGUGAGUGGCUCUGAUACCACUGUUGGAAGACUAUAAUUAAAUUCGAAAGGACGUGUGUACCUUUUGUGCGGAAGCUUGAAUCUCAACACGCUCCUACAAACACGAACAACUGCUCUGACCCUCCAUGCACGUCUAGAACCUCGCAGGUCAUCGGGUUGGCUACGGUAUGUUGAGUUUCUCCUUGGUCUUCGCCUCCUAAGACCUAGAGCCGAAAGUGAUAGCUCUAAAGACCUAACUAGAAUAUUUGAAUUGUGGAAAAUCUUGUGUGUCUUGUGUCUUCUCUCUUCCCCAAAGUCUCCUUAUAUAGUGGUUGGGAAGAGUGUACAAAGACAGAAAAGCCCAUGAAAAUCCCAAGUAUAUUCUACUAUGAAUAUAUCUUGAUUUUCACCUAAUUAUCACGUAGAUAAUUAGGAGGUUAAUAUCCUCAUGUGGGUGUAAUAUCCUUUGAUAUUUAUUUAUCCCAUAAGAUAAAUCCUACAUCUCCCACUCACCCACAAAGGGUGUGGCAUAGUCUCAAUCAACACACUUAGUUCCAUUCUAGUCUAUCUCCUCAUACAGGAAAUGGGAUGCGUGACCUCGUGAGAAAGAACAUACAUAACCAGGAGCACUACCACACUCAACAACAUUUAACAUUUCUAUGAACCAAUGAUGCAAAGCAAUAGUCUUUAACCAUACUUAUCGACCAACUUGAAAAAUAUAAAUCAAUCAUAAA
RNAcentral lists this long non-coding RNA (7541 nucleotides) under Malus domestica (apple). RNAcentral describes it as "long non-coding RNA (MDOM_LNC012239)". The record is from RNAcentral. Lineage: Eukaryota; Viridiplantae; Streptophyta; Magnoliopsida; Rosales; Rosaceae.